RNAcentral lists this unclassified non-coding RNA (400 nucleotides) under soil metagenome. Its description in RNAcentral is "partial contains 5.8S ribosomal RNA, internal transcribed spacer 2, and large subunit ribosomal RNA". The stretch from base 1 to 122 matches the Rfam family "5.8S ribosomal RNA", at positions 35 to 154 of the family's 154-position model. The record is from RNAcentral.
GAUGAAGAACGCAGCGAAAUGCGAUACUUGGUGUGAAUUGCAGAAUCCCGUGAACCAUCGAGUCUUUGAACGCAAGUUGCGCCUCAAGCCAUUAGGUUGAGGGCACGUCUGCCUGGGCGUCACAUAUCGUUGCCUGAUGCCAGUUUCCUCGUGAUGGGUGACUGUGCAGGGCGAAUGAUGGCUUCCCGUGAGCAUUGUUGCCUCAUGGUUGGUUGAAAAUUGAGUCCUUGGUAGGGAGCGCCGUGAUAGAUGGUGGUAGAGUGACGAACGAGACCCAAUCAUGUGAGACCCCUACCGAAUUUGGCCUUCAUGACCCACAUGCGUCUUUGGAACGCUCAUGACGAGACCUCAGGUCAGGCGGGGCUACCCGCUGAGUUUAAGCAUAUCAAUAAGCGGAGGA